RNAcentral lists this long non-coding RNA (2513 nucleotides) under Strigops habroptila (Kakapo). RNAcentral describes it as "lncRNA (ENSSHBG00005002795.1)". Lineage: Eukaryota; Metazoa; Chordata; Aves; Psittaciformes; Psittacidae. The record is from RNAcentral.
AAACAUAAAAAUUCAUGUCUUCAUAUGAAACAAUUAUAUGCAAUUUCUAAACAUUAAAAAAUAGUUAGAAAAACGGGGCUAAAAACGAGCUUACUGUAACACAUACUGAAUUUGCAUCAUGCUCAAAAAGCCAUGCCUUUCCUAAGGCAAAAUAGCACCUCAGUUCACAGUAUCGCUGCAGGCAUUCUCAGUUCCCUUCCAAAAUACUUAAGCCUGUGUCCACAAGGCUGAUAGCCAGCCCUUUCCUUCAAUAUAAUUUGGAAAGCAGCAGGAAACAUGGCUCACAACGAAUGCAGGAAUACCUGACAUACACAAAACGGAACCUACUUUCCACUCUGAGCCCAUUUUUGAAGUCUAACUAAGUAUGCUCUAUUGUAACUUCACCCUUGUGAACUCCUCCCAGAUCAAGGGUAUUCUGAUCAAGAAUUCUCACAGCUGAGUAUUUUUCUGCUACAUAAAACCAGGACAAACUCUUAUUCUAGACAUACACUCUUUUGGCAGGACUAGGGGAGGAGGUUAUAUCUAGUUCACAGAAAAUUAGGUCACCUAUUUCAUAAGCAAAUAUAAACUGCAUGUUGAAGUUUGUAAGCGUUUCAUAGGUACUCUCCCUCAAGAGAAAUUUGGAAGAAACUUAUCACAAAUUCUGCUCAGAGCUAGAUUAAUUAUAAAUGCAGGAGGAAGGAAGUUCUUAUUUACAACCUUAGUCAAACAAAAAACCAUUAUAUCAUCUUAACAGCUGUGUAACAAUUUGGCAAGCCUCAGAGUAAAGUUUUUUUCUGAACAUCCCGAAAGAACAAUUAUUUUUGUUUCCUCAAAAAUAUCUUCUUUGGUAUAAAGAUUGAGCCAGAUGAAUAAACUACAGAACACUAGAAGUGGAAUGUGUACUACAAUGACUAUUUUUACUGCUAAAGCUGCUGUACUAAGUUGACCACACUAUAUAAAGAAUGUCAUUUGUGACACUACAAAUGGUAAUUACUUGGACCACAUUCACAUCUUGUUAAGGACAAGGGUUGGCAGGAAAGAACUGAUCUGCAUUAAUUUGCUGUAGCCAAAAUGAGCCACAAAGCUGCAAAACAACUAUUUAAAACGUAGGUGACAGCAACCAGUUUAAAAGCCACAUUACAGUAAGUCUCUUAAUUCAUUAGCACCUCAGUAUUUAAAAGCAAAAUAAUUUCCAAGUUGUGUUUGUCUACUGCAGUAUGAGAUAGUUUAUGCAGAUGCAGAAGUUUGUUGAAUAUUCCAUUAGCCUACAGUCUCAUUUCCUCAGAUUGAUAACAGUGAAGUGUGAAUUGGCUAGAACACUUUUUUAGUUUUUUAGUUUCUUUUUUUGUAGAACAUAUUACGAUGUUCUUAGCUCUCUAUCUCAAGUUAAAUUAAACCAAAAAAAGCACCACCAUGAAAGGAUUCACACUGAAACAAUCAAUUAUUUCAUGGCUUUUAUUGGUUUCCUAUCUUUCUUCAGGCCUCUAAACACCCACUCAGGUUUAAGUCUUGCUGGCAACUUCUUCCUAUUAUCUUUCCAAAGGAUUUAUAAAGUUUUGCUGAUAGAAGCUACAGCCUAGCACACCUUAAAGGGACAGCUUGUGACAGAUCAGAACAGGCUUACGAGCCAAAAAAAAGAAAUCAGUUUUGCAGUUAUAAAUUUAAUUCCUCCAGGAGCUUUCUUCACAUUCUUCCUGCAUCUCAACAUAUCUCUGCAGUAAAGGUAGCUUAUAAUUACUAAAAUAUAUAAUUAAAGAUAACGUAUACUUAUAAAUAACUUCUGCCAGGGAGCAGGUUCAGACUACAUGAAUGUUGAGUUUGAUAGUGCCACAUACCUGUUUGCAUCAGCAAGGCAGGGAACACUGGAAUGAAAUGAAGCUACUUUGGAGAUCCCAAAAUUUGUACAGGUGAUGGAAUUUAUCCAUCUUCACCUUUAAGAAUUAGAGAUGUCCUUCCGUCCCAAAGACAAGGUGUUACAGCUCUUACUAUUAAAUCACCUCCUCUGCUUUUUCUUUCUCCAUUCCAUUCAUAAGAAGCAGGUUAAAGUGCAUUCACAGAGGUCAAUGCAUCUCGUCUUGUACACUUAUAUCACAGUAAAUAUAUCACAUUUAUAUCACUUAGUAAGUAGCUCACUUGACUAACUCUGAAGUAUGCAGAGGGAUAGGUAGAGAACAUGGUCCUGUCACUAGAAAUGCAGCUCUUUUGUAAAGGUAUCCCCUGACAUUAAUCUCCCUUCUUCUCAAUAGUAAAAGUAGGCCUAAAACUGUAAAGAAACUGUUUGGUUUCUGACCAUCAAAACAAACAAGGAACUUCUUUAAAAGCUGGGAAAUUAGAGUAAAGCAGAACUCCAGCUUUUCAACUAGUAUGAUAUCAUCAGUAAAACCAACAAAAAAUGAAAUCUGGUUUUAAAACAGGUAGCCUAACUUCAGUAAAAAAUUUUCAGACCACAAUUGGUGCCUUUUGAUUUUAAGCUUAGCAUCCAAGAACACUUUGAUCAAUGCUUUUCAGGAAGACUGCUAGCAAUACAACAG